GAUUUCGUUCUUCCAAUGGUUCUCUACAACAUCACAUUCAAGCCGACGAAAUCAUCCUUAACCUACUUGAUCAACAUCUUGAUCAUCAUCGUCUUCACUGGUGCAGGGCUAAUGGGCGCAUUUUCUUCUAUAAGGAAGUUAAUUCUUGAUGCCAACCAGUUCAAGCUCUUUAGUAGUAACGUGGUAGGUUAGGAUACAGGAAAAUAAACUCCGCAGUUCCUAUGUACUUGCACCUAAUAGUUACAGGAGAAAGAAAGUUUUCGAAGGGAAGAAAAAGGAACAUUCAAGGGGGUGAUUGGUUAGUCAUGAAUACUAGAACUGUCCUCUGCUUUGUGCCAACGAUAGGAGGUGGGAUAUUUCUAGGCAUCGUCAUCUGGAAGAGUAGACAAGUUGAAAACCCAAGCUUCAAUCCAACAUACAAAGAGGCAUUUCUUUCUGUCCUCUGCUCUCUCAAAGAAAUGUGGUCUCGAUAGAUUCUGCAAUAUAAACACAUGCUAACCUGCGACGGCACCUGACAUCAUGCACAGCACCUUUCCUUUUGACUGGUUGUUCCGUACUUCAUUAUAAUCGGUGCAACUAUACGAGCAAACGCAUAGUAAGCAAUCCCCCUUUCGGCCAGUUCUUCCCAGCAACGACUUAUAAUCAUGGAUCGUACGUAAAUGACGUCCUAAAAAUGAUAAUUGGUGUUGGCAACAUCUUUACCAUCGAGAGAAAAGGCUUUGAACAACGGAAGCUAAAAGGUUUCUUGUUCCUAACUACCAUUGGAAGAACGUGAGAGAAUGAAAAGCAUGCCGACAGCAUCGGGCUGAAGAAAACAGAAUGUCCUUGAUCAUCUACAGACAUUCUAGUCUUUUGCUUAAAGAAAAAUUGUAGUUGAUUUAUGUGUCCGAGGAUGGAAGCUGAAUUAGCAUAUUGAGGCUUUUGAAAUUUGAUCACUUCCUUUUGUUUUUAUUCAAAAUUAAUCUGGUAGGAUGAUUUCAUCUUGGAAUGACCUCUCAGUUUCUUUAAAUUGCGACUACAUACAAUUGAAGGUUUUAGUUGGACGGGCGGGCGGAACAGAUGAGCAAAGGGUAGUACCUGUUUGUCCUCCGAAUGUGCCAUGAGUAGAUGUUUCUGAAUAGAUUAGGGAUUUGCAGAUUAUCAGUAUCAUUCUUUGCUUGUCCUUGGUUCCCGAUCCAUGACUGCAUAAUGUGAAUUGAGUGUGGUAACACCCAAAAGCAGAGACAGGCAAGCUUAUUGAGUGCGCUGUCUUUGUGUGCAAGAUUAUCUUUUGAGAUAUUUCAUCUUGAUGUGGGGUGUGUAUCUGUGAAAGUUCGCUGUUCUCUGACUUUUGUUCACUAUAAUGUUAUGCUGUUUGAAAUUCGUGGACCCAUUUUGUUGUUUAUUAUUAAGCUCAGUGAAUACAUUUGUCAGAUAGAACAACCAAUACACGUUUUCCACGAUGAAGAAUACAAAUCAAGAGGGUGGCACUUACCCCUCCUACAACUUCAACAUCUCAGUCAUCUGGACUCCUUUCCUCAUAAAAAGCAGCGAUUUUCGAGGACUUCAAUGGCGUCUCCACAUCGGCAGUUGAGCUUCAUCUGGACAAGCUUUAUACAAAAUGGACUAGUUUGUAUCCAAACUUGGAUUACAUGAUAAUAUCAACGGGGAAGUGGUUUCUCAAGACCGCAAUAUACUAUGAGAAUGGUCGAGCCGUGGGCUGCCAUAACUGUAAGAAAGGACAUUUCCGAGAAGGCAUUCGAGUUUGCCUACAGGAAGACCCUGCAUAACGUGGUGAACUUCAUAGCAAAAUCUAAGCACAAAGGUCUGAUAUUUUUUCGCACAUCCACACCAGAUUAUUUUGAGAAUGGGGACUGGCAUAACGGUGGGACCUGUCGAAGAACGGCUCCUGUCAAAGAAGGUGAGAUCGAAUUGAAGGACCUGAACCGAAUUCUCCGUGAUAUCGAACUCAGCGAGUAUGAGAAGGCAUCAGCCGCCAUAGCUGCUAAAAACGGCGUGAAUCUAAAGCUUCUCGACUUCACUAAACUCUUGCUGACGAGGCCCGAUGGGCAUCCGGGUCCUUACCGGGAGUUUCAACCAUUUGCGAAGGACCAGAACGCCAAAGUCCAGAACGACUGCUUGCACUGGUGCUUGCCUGGGCCUAUCGACACUUGGUACGAUGUGAUAAUGGAAAUUGUGGCGAAUGCGAGUUGAAUCAGAGUAGCAAAACCCGAGUUUUAAUAGAUAGAAUUGGUGAGGUUGUAAACGCACGCAACAGGGCGAUGCACGCUCCUCAGAAGGAGUUUGCAGUCUGGAUUUAUUGCUGAUGGUUUUUUUUAUACGUUUGAUGGACCUACUUAAGUCUGUCCGCCCAUGUUGGGCCAAAACCCGGCCCGUAAAUGAAGGACCCAUAGAAGAGUGCAAUUACUGUAAAAAAAAAAAAAUGGGGAUAAGAGCGGUUACGUUAUUUGAGCAAUUUUUUUUUUUUUUUUUUGGUCAGUCGAGCGGUUACCUUAUCUGAGCAAUUAAGUUAUCUAAUUAUUCCUUAUAAAAGUGCGACAACGGUGUUUAAUCUGUGCAAAUCAAGAUAUGUCCGACUACGUGAUAUACUUUUUGAUCGAUGUAACAUGUUUUCUGGGCACGUUUUCCGCGUUUUCAUUUUUCCAGUAUUUGAGUAUCGAAUUGUUAUUUUGGGAAUCUGUUUCCCUACAGUUGCAAUGGUUGUGAUUCUGCUCUACUUCCUUCUUCAGCUCUCCCAUUUUGCUCAGGUAGUACACAGACCUUAUGGCCAGUCAAGGUAUUAAUUAGUCUGAUUGUACAAAAGAGAGCAUCUUCUCUGAAGUCAAACAGAAACGAUGUUGUAUUGGCAAAAGGAAUGGAAUGGAGUUGUAUUCCACCAUGCGGUUUAUCUAAUUGCACUACUUGAGAUCGAGCUCCACUAGACUCAAUUGGUUCGACCGAGAUACUGACUACGGAUCACUUCUAAUGUCCCGUGGUAUCGAUUGCGUGACGACGCCCUGAACCGGAACCAUUUCUUAGAGAAAUAAAAAAAGGGUGUUCCAUCGUGGUCGUCAUUGCACGUCCUUUCCCUUCUGCACCCGGACGGACCAAGCGAUGUACACCUCCACACCUGAAAGUUAGGUCUCCCCUAGCUGUCCAAGAAGGACCAUUCAAAAAAAGGUGAAACGGACCUUUUCCUUAAUUCUCCAUGGUAAGGAACAGACAGAGACACGACUUAAGAAGCAGAUUAACACGAUAAAAAGCGAAGAGAAUCAGUUCGUGGGGGAUAUUAUGAUAAACGAGAUCAUGCCAUAAAAAAGAGGAAGUGGGGUUCCAUUGGAUAUGCCGUCCAAAAUGCUGCGUCCUUCCUCUUCCAGAAUUCCACCCGUUCCGUUUAAAAAAGGGGAAUCUGCGAGGUGGUCCCACGUUCCAUCCUCGUAUAUGUCGCGGUUAAAAAUAGAAAAGCUGUCUCCCUCCAUGUUAGCGCGUCCUAACCCGGCAAGGUGCGUGUCGUUUCGUGUUGGCGCAUGUCGACCACCAAGCUCGUGCGUGUGAGCUUUAGGACUUUUAUCAUAGUCAGGACGCAAUCAAACACUCCAGUCACGCCACUCCAUCCUCCCGGUUUCGUGCCCGCAACAACGACAAUUAUUAACUCACUCUUUGCUUCCUACAAUAAGCAGAAUAAAAUGGCGUAAAGAAUUUAAAAUACGGUGCUAAAAUAAUCGUUGUUAGCAAUGUAAAUCGUACAAAAAGUAAAGAUAAAAGAUAAGUUUACUCAAGAAAACGUCGAGUUCUGUAAUUGACACUUGGGGUGCUUAUAACACAUACCACUCGGUGGUUACCGAAAUUCUAAUUGAAUUUAAAUCCACGAGCAACUUCCUACUCUAAUGAGAGGUUAUAGGAAAAUAUAAUAUAUAUAUUAUCUUGACGGUUACGGUUGCAUUGACUCUAUUAUCGAUUACUUGAGUUUGCUGAUUUCAUUGACUAUAUCAUCGCGAUGGGUACAUCAAUCCAAUCACCUUGAUAGUUACAUGUUGGUGUUCAUGACCUCGCCGACUAAUGAAGGCUCUUGUUAAUAACGCAAUUGAGGACAUUAUUGGCAAGUUGUUGAUUCCCUUCAAAUUAUUCAUUGUUUUGCUGACUUUUGUUUUGAUUAAACUCUGUUGUUAUCCAUUAAGUUCGUCGCUUGUCAAUGAUAAUUGAAACUUGGCCGCUUUUUUGGAUGUCAACAAUAUAUGAAAUUAAUUCCCCCUUUUAACUGCAUUUUUAAUGCCGAAGCUCAGAAGGAAAAUUGUCUUCUGUUUUCUAGAAAGAAAAAAACUUAACUUAUUGGCGAAAAUAACAAUUUUCAGCUUGAAUAGAAAUCUUGAUCAGGUGUUCGGUGGUGUCGUCUUCCACAGUAAGAAAAUUUCCCUUUCACUUGACAAUGAAACUAAAUCGAAAGUUUUAAAAACAUUCGACCUUUAUUUUUAUCUUGCGUUCUUAUAAAAACUAAAAGAGCAAUAUUCUCAUUCAGAUUUCUCCCAUUUAAAAAAUAAAUAAAUGAUUUGAAAAGCAUUUUUCCAGAAUUGGUGACUUGUAUCUUUCGAAAUAAUUAGUCAAACGAUGCGCCAAUUACCUAAACAAACCAAUCCACCGAAUUUCACUUUUCGAGAUAUAAAAAGUCAAACCCUAUUUUUUUUUUCCUUUCUUUCCCAAGUCUAAUAGCGAUCCGAUCAGACCGGAGGCAUAAAAUCAAAGAUAAAAUAAAGUCAUUAUUAAUGAGAAUCAAUAUUAAUGAAAGGCUUUCUUUAUAUCAAAUCGCUCUUUUACUACCCUAUCAAAUACUUUUGAAAAUAAAAUAAAAUUAAACAGCUUUCGUCCCACCAUCAUAAUUAUUAUUAUCAUCAUCAUUAUUAUAUGUGAACACGUUCUUAAUAGAUCGAGACUCCAUCUCCCUCAGUCUCGAUCCAUUUCUCCUUCUUUUUAAAAAAAAUAAAUAAUUUUUUUUUUAAAUAAAGUAAAAAUAUCACCGAGCACAAAUUCCUCUCGCUCUCUCGCACCAAACUCCAGCUUCCGGGGGCCUCUAAACCGCGCUGGGGGCGCACGCCUCUUAACCUGCGCACGCCCCCACGUCACGCGCAUCAAGCUCUGCUGCUCCUUUGCUUAUAACUUUUUCCCCGCUCCUCCUCCUCGACCGGUUCGGUCCUUCGUACCAGAAGUUCACCCAAUGGCGAGCCCUCCCGCGCCCCGCCGCGACGCCGACGCCGGCGCCGCCUUCGUCCUCGAGUCCAAAGGUAAAAACCCACCGCUCCACUCCGGCGGCCGUCGAAUGCAACGCCGGCGAAGUGCUUGCUCGUCUGUUCGUUCGUUCGUUCGUUCGUUCGUUUUCGUUUCCUUUUUCGGAUCGAGGAGAGACUUUUUCUUCAAGCCUCGAUUUUGCCUUCCGUGCUGUGGUCGACAGGGGAGUGGUGGCACGCGGGGUUCCACCUGACGACGGCGAUCGUGGGGCCGACGAUACUGACGCUGCCGUACGCGUUCCGGGGGCUGGGGUGGGGGCUGGGCUGCCUCUGCCUCACGGCCAUGGGGGUCGUCACCUUCUACUCCUACUCCCUCAUGUCGCAGGUGCUGGAGCAGUGCGAGAAGGAGGGCCGCCGCCACAUCCGCUUCCGCGAGCUCGCCGCCGACGUCCUAGGUGAGUUUUACCUACCUAACCUCCCCCUGCACGUCAUCAUCGAUCCGUCCGCCGCCGUUCGCGCCGGAUAAGUUCGACCGGUUCGUCCGAGGCCGCCGCGAGAAGACGACAAUCUCGACGCGUUGGUCCUCUUGCGUGUUUUCACCGAUAAUGCCGAUCGCGCUUUAUGGCGCAAUCUCGGUUUUUAAGAUUCGUUCCUAGCGGCUUUUCAGUUUAUCAAAAGUUCCUCUCCAUUCAUUUUUAUUUUAUUUUUUCUAUUAAUGAAUUAUGAGCGAAUCAUCACGCAUUUUUCGCUUAUUGAAAAUUUCAAAAUACUUGAAAAUUUUAUAAAAUUUGCCAUGUGAUGAGACCUUUUUCAUGAUUUUUUUUUGAAUUUAUGCAGUAUUUAAGAUUGGAGAUAAAGUAGUUAAUCUUCUUAUUCCUUUGUGAAUGUUAAUCCUUUUAAGUCCCCCCCCCCCUCCCCGGGGCCCCCCAACAAAAAAAGAGCAUAACUAGAUCCAAAAAAUUUAAAGAAGUUAGAACUCACAGAUUUUUUUUUUUUUUGGAUAUAUUGAGAAUCACGUUUUCUUUCUUAUUCGUUUAAUUUUUAGCAAGUCUUUACACCAAUCAAUAUAUGGCAAUGGAAUCAGGGUCUACUAAAUUUUAAUUUUUUUUACAAGCUGAAUCUAACUCAUCUUAUUUAAAUUAUAGGAUAUAAGUUGGAUUCUAAAAAAUUCUGGGAAUCUCCAUGUUUAUUUUUUCCUCACGUAUCCCAAAUCUGGAAAAUCGUGACCGUACCGUUGCUCCAUAUUCAGAUUUCUAAUAUAGAUUCUGUGAAUCAUAACAAGUGAAAAUAAUUAUUGAUGUUUCGCGGAUGGUGUAAGUAGGUUCUAUUUUUCGGGCAUAUGGAGGAAACAUUCUGGUAAAAUGGUCGUCGUGGACAAGGAAAAAUGGGACCGUUAGCAAUGGGCGGUAGACAGAAUCAUUCGGAUUUUUUUAUCAUUCGGUGGCUGCGCUGGCAAAUGGACGACCAUUGGAAUGCGGGUCGGCGUUAUGAUCAGCCGUGAAUACUAAAAACGCCCGCACGGAUUGUGUACACGCGUUGGCCAGCGGCUGGACUUUGGUAGUUGGCGGCUACUUUUCUUUUCUCUGUUCAUUUUGUAUUUUGGUUUAUAUUUCGUAAUGCUUGCGUCAUAUUUUCUUGGAGCUUGGUGGCCCAAGGCCCAUGGCUUUAAUGGGUAGAGUGGCCAGUCCGUCGAUUCUUCUUCUUGGGUCGACAAGAGAGAUUUUAGUUGGGUCUAAUUUGAUAAGUUAAUUCAGUGCGUCUUUUAGUCAUUCGGAUGAUGGAUCCUUUACCAUAUGGAUAAAAAUUCUCGUGGGUAAGUUUCUUUUUACUUACGAAAAUGAUGCAGUCGCUACCGUUCUAAUGUGUGCAGAUUUUAUGGUCUUGGCUUAUGUUGUUUUAUAGGAUCGGGAUGGAUGUUUUAUUUUGUGAUAUUCAUACAAACUGCCAUCAACACCGGGAUUGGAAUCGGAGCUAUUCUACUGGCCGGAGAAUGCCUUCAGGUAUGUCUUCUUUCUAAUUCAGUGUGUGAUACAGUUUCAUGACACUUUUGCGAUUUGCACUAGCUUCGAUAGGCAUACCUAUGGAAAAUUAUCAAAAAAAAUCCUAAAUCUAUUAUAAUUAUAUCAAUUUAAUUUUAAACUUAUUUGUUUGGUCAAUUAAGUUCUUAAAUUUUUGCAAUUAUGCCAAUUCAGUUCAUCCCAGCCAAAUUUAGCUGGUUGGUGAAUAAGUUUUAAUAUUAUUUUUUUCCAAUUUUUUAUUAAUUUUUUAAUCUUUUCAUUUUUUUUCCUUUUUUUUUCUCCCUUCCCUCCUUUAGUGAUCGGCUAGAGGUGAGGGGAUCGAUGAGGGGUUGCCUCCCCAAUGGCUAGGCAGCCCUCGCCCAGUGACGGUGGGGUGAGCUCGCCCUCGGUUUGGCUUGGCGAGUCACUGAAAGAAGGAGGGAGGAGAGGGAAAAAAAAAAAGAGAGAAAAAAAAUUGGAAAAAAUAAAAUAAUAUUAAAAAAUUGUUUGUUGGUACCUACUAGAGAUCAUGUCAACAUUAGCCAGUCAAAUUUGGCUGAAUGGAUUGAAUUAGUACAAUUGUAAAAGGUUUAUGAUUCAAUUGGCUAAAAAAAUAAGUUUAAAACUGAAUUGACACAAUUAAAAUAUGUUUAAGAUUUUUUUGGUAAUUUUCCCUGGGCAUGACUUAUAAGCUAGCUAAUUAGAUCGACAUUUCUCAUUGACUAUCUUAGAUUUCGAAGUUUUAACUCAAGAAUUCAUUAACUCUUCCCUCGGCGUCGGCGAAGUAUAUUAGCUUGGCUUCACAAUAGGAAUUGGAACUCCCCGGAAGCAUUCAAGAAGCCUGUGGCGGUUUAAAGUACGCAUAACAAAUAGGACAGCAAAUGGUUCUUUAGGAAAGAUAAUCUAAUCAAGUUAAAACUUUGAAGCGCUUUGAACUAUGUCCGUAAGCAAUAUAUCGGCGUAAAUGCCGCUCUCCGUGAGUCUCCCGGAAAACAAAUUAAUGCAGGAACAUUUCUUGAUUUAGAUGUAUUCACUGUCUGCUGUAUUUAUUUCCUUUCUUGUAUCAACUCGGAGACAGAAGGAUUUAUUUUUAUACAACUUUCUUUUUUCUGCUUGGACUGUACAAGAUCGUGUACUCAAACCUUUCUCCUAAUGGGUCCCUUAAACUGUACCACUUCAUAGCAAUGGUGACGGUGGUCAUGAUAGUUCUCUCCCAGCUCCCGACCUUCCACUCUCUCAGGCACAUUAAUUUGGGUUCACUGUUUCUCAGCUUGGGAUACACCUUCCUUGUAGUUGGUGCUUGUGUUCAUGCAGGUAUUAAAUCCAUGUUUUUCGUGCUUUAAUUGAACUGUAUACGUUUCGGCUUCUUGUUAAUAAAAUGUUUCUUAGCCGCUCAAAACAAAAACUAGUGACAUCGAUGCUUGAUUGGUAAUUGAAUAAAUGUCAUCUAUGGACAUAGAACACCUUUUUGAUAUCACAAAACCUCUAACUUGAACCAGUUUAACCCGUGAAAAAAACUGAAAGAAGAUUGAUUUCUGAGAUGGGUACAAGAAGUUACUGUUGAAUCAUGAAACUGCAUUUCUAGGCAUCUUCAGCUGACACUGCCAGUCUCAUGGCGUGUUGGAGGAUUCUUGUGGAGCUUUCAUUUACUUGCAUGCUUCCUUCGAGGUCGAAUUAGAAAGUCUGUUAUCGGAGCUCUUGUGGAGAGAAGAAACUAGAACUUGACUAUCCAGCCUUCUCUGUAGAGAGCAGUGGCCAGUCGAAUUUUCAGUUUUAUGUCAAAGACCAAACUGGAAAUUAGUCUUACAGCUUUUCACAUUUCCUAUUUCACUCUGAACCCCUAAAAAUUUGUCAUUUUUGUUCUUCAUGGAGGUCGAAUUUUGUACUGGCAAGAGUUAGCUUUUGCAAUAAUGAAUUCUGUAACCUUUUCGGCAUAGAAAAUAACAUAAUUGGCAGCAAUAAUCCUAAAGCAUACUAUUCUUUUUCCAUCGUGGCCAUCUAAUUGACUUCCACAUCUUGCAGGUUUAUCAAAGAAUGCCCCUCCAAGAGACUAUUCCUUGGAAUCUUCAGAGUCAGCAAGGAUUUUUAGUGCUUUCACUUCCAUAUCCAUUAUAGCUGCCAUUUUUGGGAACGGGAUACUGCCUGAAAUACAAGUAAAUCUCAACUUCUGUUUCAUCUUUUAAAAUCACCGUAAGUAUGCUUGCUUAGAAAGUUCUAAUUCCGGGCUAAGAAUCAUCGAGUACUAGAAAGACAUGUUGACGAUUAGUAUUACCUAGCAACGUAGGUUCAUAUCCAUCAGCUGUUAGAAACGUGAACUCUGCUCUGAACUGUUAUGCUUCAUUGCAGGCAACUCUAGCUCCACCUGUGACUGGGAAGAUGGUUAAAGGCCUUCUCAUGUGUUAUACAGUGAUUUUUGUCACAUUCUAUUCUGCUGCUGUGUCUGGAUACUGGGUUUUUGGCAACAAAUCGAACUCAAAUAUACUCAAAAGCCUAAUGCCAGAUAACGGACCUGCUUUAGCUCCGACUUGGGUUCUAGGCCUUGGCGUGGUUUUUGUCCUCCUACAGCUCUUCGCCAUUGGCCUGGUAAACAAACUAGCAGUAGUAGUAGAGUACUCAUUCGAUUUGAAUUUCUAAACUGAUCUCCAAGGGCAUGGAAACAGGUCUACUCUCAAGUGGCAUACGAGAUCAUGGAAAGCCAAUCAGCUGAUGUGAAGCGAGGAAUAUUCUCCCCGCGCAACCUCAUUCCUAGGAUAAUUCUUCGGACUUUGUACAUGGUGUUUUGCGGGUUCAUGGCGGCCAUGCUACCCUUCUUCGGGGACAUCAACGCCAUUGUGGGAGCCAUUGGCUUCAUUCCUCUAGAUUUCGUUCUUCCGAUGGUUCUCUACAACAUCACAUUCAAGCCAACGAAAUCAUCCUUAACCUACUUGAUCAACAUCUCGAUCAUCAUUGUCUUCACCGGUGCAGGGCUAAUGGGCACAUUUUCUUCUAUAAGGAAGUUAAUUCUUGAUGCCAACCAGUUCAAGCUCUUCAGUAGUAACGUGGUAGACUAGGGUACAGGAAAAU
Molecule: long non-coding RNA, 10258 nt
Filed under: Eucalyptus grandis
Lineage: Eukaryota; Viridiplantae; Streptophyta; Magnoliopsida; Myrtales; Myrtaceae
Description: long non-coding RNA (EGRA_LNC002428)
Source: RNAcentral